RNAcentral lists this ribosomal RNA (192 nucleotides) under uncultured Rhodanobacter sp. RNAcentral's name for it is "partial 16S ribosomal RNA". It matches the Rfam family "Bacterial small subunit ribosomal RNA", at positions 340 to 524 of the family's 1533-position model. The record is from RNAcentral. Lineage: Bacteria; Pseudomonadati; Pseudomonadota; Gammaproteobacteria; Lysobacterales; Rhodanobacteraceae.
UACGGGAGGCAGCAGUGGGGAAUAUUGGACAAUGGGCGCAAGCCUGAUCCAGCAAUGCCGCGUGUGUGAAGAAGGCCUUCGGGUUGUAAAGCACUUUUAUCAGGAGCGAAAUACUAUCGGUUAAUAACCGGUGGGGCUGACGGUACCUGAGGAAUAAGCACCGGCUAACUUCGUGCCAGCAGCCGCGGUAAU